Molecule: transfer RNA, 74 nt
Filed under: Moellerella wisconsensis
Lineage: Bacteria; Pseudomonadati; Pseudomonadota; Gammaproteobacteria; Enterobacterales; Morganellaceae
Description: tRNA-Arg(tcg)
Source: RNAcentral
UGGGGUUAGAAUAUGGUGCAACCGGGAGGAUUCGAACCUCCGACCGCUCGGUUCGUAGCCGAGUACUCUAUCCA